Molecule: small nucleolar RNA, 93 nt
Organism: Crocodylus porosus (Australian saltwater crocodile)
Lineage: Eukaryota; Metazoa; Chordata; Crocodylia; Crocodylidae
Gene: SNORD14
Rfam family: Small nucleolar RNA SNORD14
About the family: U14 small nucleolar RNA (U14 snoRNA) is required for early cleavages of eukaryotic precursor rRNAs. In yeasts, this molecule possess a stem-loop region (known as the Y-domain) which is essential for function. A similar structure, but with a different consensus sequence, is found in plants, but is absent in vertebrates.
Source: Ensembl
UCACUGUGACGUUUGACUUUCCAACCAUUUGCAGUUUCCACCAGAAAAGUUGUUCCUUAGUGUUGGCUAAACCUUCCUUGGAUGUCUGAGUGA